AGGAGGGCGAUGAUGAAUGAGCAGCUGCAGCAGCUACAGAAAGAGCCAGUAAACCUCCACAGGACUCACACAAGAAGAAGAAGAAGAAAAAGACAAUGACCCAACACACCUCCAGGCUGUGUAAGGGC
This is a non-coding RNA of Salvelinus sp. IW2-2015, 128 nucleotides long. The record is from RefSeq and is a predicted model, not a curated record. Lineage: Eukaryota; Metazoa; Chordata; Actinopteri; Salmoniformes; Salmonidae.